GUAAAAGUCGUAACAAGGUCUCCGUUGGUGAACCAGCGGAGGGAUCAUUACCGAGUUUACAACUCCCAAACCCAAUGUGAACGUUACCAAACUGUUGCCUCGGCGGGAUCUCUGCCCCGGGUGCGUCGCAGCCCCGGACCAAGGCGCCCGCCGGAGGACCAACCAAAACUCUUUUUGUAUACCCCCUCGCGGGUUUUUUUAUAAUCUGAGCCUUCUCGGCGCCUCUCGUAGGCGUUUCGAAAAUGAAUCAAAACUUUCAACAACGGAUCUCUUGGUUCUGGCAUCGAUGAAGAACGCAGCGAAAUGCGAUAAGUAAUGUGAAUUGCAGAAUUCAGUGAAUCAUCGAAUCUUUGAACGCACAUUGCGCCCGCCAGUAUUCUGGCGGGCAUGCCUGUCCGAGCGUCAUUUCAACCCUCGAACCCCUCCGGGGGGUCGGCGUUGGGGAUCGGCCCUGCCUCUUGGCGGUGGCCGUCUCCGAAAUACAGUGGCGGUCUCGCCGCAGCCUCUCCUGCGCAGUAGUUUGCACACUCGCAUCGGGAGCGCGGCGCGUCCACAGCCGUUAAACACCCAACUUCUGAAAUGUUGACCUCGGAUCAGGUAGGAAUACCCGCUGAACUUAAGCAUAUC
RNAcentral lists this ribosomal RNA (627 nucleotides) under Trichoderma atroviride. RNAcentral describes it as "eukaryotic LSU rRNA". The stretch from base 252 to 405 matches the Rfam family "5.8S ribosomal RNA". Lineage: Eukaryota; Fungi; Ascomycota; Sordariomycetes; Hypocreales; Hypocreaceae. The record is from RNAcentral.